ACACCGGCAGCUCAAGUGGUAGCCGCUUUUAUUGGGCCUAAAGCGUCCGUAGCCGGUCUGAUAAGUCUCUGGUGAAAUCCCACAGCUUAACUGUGGGAAUUGCUGGAGAUACUAUCAUGACUCGAGGUCGGGAGAGGCUGGAGGUACUCCCAGGGUAGGGGUGAAAUCCUGUAAUCCUGGGAGGACCCCCUGUGGCGAAGGCGUCCAGCUGGAACGAACCUGACGGUGAGGGACGAAAGCCAGGGGCGCGAACCGGAUUAGAUACCCGGGUAGUCCUGGCCGUAAACGAUGUGGACUUGGUGUUGGGAUGGCUUCGAGCUGCCCCAGUGCCGAAGGGAAGCUGUUAAGUCCACCGCCUGGGAAGUACGGCCGCAAGGCUGAAACUUAAAGGAAUUGACGGGG
This 402-nucleotide ribosomal RNA is filed under the name uncultured bacterium. RNAcentral's name for it is "partial 16S ribosomal RNA". It matches the Rfam family "Archaeal small subunit ribosomal RNA", at positions 473 to 873 of the family's 1478-position model. The record is from RNAcentral.